CCCAAAUACCCAUCCCCAUUAUCUUCUUUAAGGUUUUACCCUAAGAAUCGAUUAUACUUUCUUUAUUCAUUCCUAAGGGUUUACCUGAGGAACUGGCUCACAGUCCAUUUGCUACCACGGUUCAUACAAUAGGUACUAUGUCGCAUAGUCACCAGGGUUCGUACAAUUGGCACUACGUCUCAUAGUCACCAGGGCUUACACAAUAGGCACUACGUCUCAUAGUCACCUGGGUUCAUACAAUUGGCACUACGUCUCAUAGUCACCAGGACUUACACAAUAGGCACUACGUCUCAUAGUCACCUGGGUUCAUACAAUUGGCACUACGUCUCAUAGUCACCAGGACUUACACAAUAGGCACUACGUCUCAUAGUCACCUGGGUUCAUACAAUUGGCACUACGUCUCAUAGUCACC
This 412-nucleotide long non-coding RNA is filed under the name Lactuca sativa (garden lettuce). Its description in RNAcentral is "long non-coding RNA (LSAT_LNC004879)". Lineage: Eukaryota; Viridiplantae; Streptophyta; Magnoliopsida; Asterales; Asteraceae. The record is from RNAcentral.